CAAUAGCGUAUAUUAAAGUUGUUGCGGUUAAAAAGCUCGUAGUUGGAUUUCUGUCGGUGAGUGGCGCUCCGCCCAUGUGGUGUGUAGUCGUCAUGCCCCGCGAUCUUCCUGGGGACUGUAUCUGCACUUCACUGUGUGGUGCAUAAACCAGGACUUUUACUUUGAGGAAAUGAGAGUGUUUCAAGCAGGCAUGCGCCGUGAAUACGUUAGCAUGGAAUAAUAGCAUCGGACCUCGCUCCAUAGCUGUUGGUUUCUUGGGUCGAGGUAAAGAUGAAUAGGGAUAGUUGGGGGCAUUAGUAUUUAAUUGUCAGAGGUGAAAUUCUUGGAUUUAUGAAAGACUAACUUCUGCGAAAGCAUUUGCCAAGGAUGUUUUCAUUAAUCAAGAACGAAAGUUAGGGGAUCGAAGACGAUCAGAUACCA
RNAcentral lists this ribosomal RNA (420 nucleotides) under uncultured eukaryote. Its description in RNAcentral is "bacterial SSU rRNA". It matches the Rfam family "Eukaryotic small subunit ribosomal RNA", at positions 592 to 1017 of the family's 1831-position model. The record is from RNAcentral.